AUGUGGUCAAUGGUGGAAAAGAGCCUGGAUGUGGCCCUCGGCUAUGGGCUGUGGAGAAACAUGGAGGAGGCUGGCGCGGGUCCCUCAUCGGGACACGUGCGUCCCCCCGCUGGGACACUGCGCUCUGCAACCCUUGCUGCUGCCACAGGGCACCCGUGCUGCGGGGCAGGUGGAGUCCUGCAGCGGACGUGGAAACGGUUUUCCUUGAGGGAAUGCCUUUUUCUAUGCCAGACAAAUGGCAACGACAGAUGGGACAUAACAGUGUUGGAGGCAUGCAAUGUUGGCAGAAACCAAAAUUACGAAAAUCCACUUUCCAACAACUUGGAGCACAUGGAGUACCACCAACAGGUGUGUCCCAAGGCAAUGAGAGUCUUUGUUGCUGCUCAUCUGAUUAAACUGACCACCAAGACAAUUCUAGUGGAAGAGGUCAUCAAAAAGCUUCUUGCCACCUGGACGGAUUACAGACUAGAAGAUAACUUGGACUUCUGCUUUAUGACAGUGUCUGUAGUGAUUUUGAAUGCGUUGGGCAAAGCAGAAAAAACAGCUAGUCUGCAGACUGGGAAGGAUGCCAUAACCAGUACCAGAAGGAGAGGACCUUCCAGGAGGCAGUGGAGUGGGAUGAGUGGCUCACCGGUGUCCCUGAAGGAACUAUGUCUUGGAGAGGCAGCCUGGGAGGGCCGGCAGCUUGUCACCUAUUCUGAGCGACUUGUAUGAGAAGUCCAGCAGGUGCAUUUCAGUUGUUUCAGUGGACCCUUGACCAGCUCUACAGGGAACAAGUUGAUCCUCCCUUGUCCUUACUGGGGCAAAACUCCAGCUGAACUCCUGCUUCGUGAGGGACUUCAGGACCCCAUGCCCACAGUAAGGUUAUGGGAAACCUAUUAGCAGUUGUACAACAAUACUCUUGUCUGCUGGCUUUGAUCUCUGGUAUAUUAAAUUAGCAGCCAGGAUGACAUAGUAAUGAUUAGUCUUGAGGGACAGGUUGGCAGACACAGUAAAACAGAAAAGGAAACCUCUGGGAUGGCUUCUGCAUGCUCACUCCAACAGCUAUGCUGUCUUCUCCUCACUCUGUCUCCAUAAUGUUGGGUGUAUUUACACUGUAAGCUAGCGGUGACGCAUGUUUCAGUGCUGUGACAUCCCUGAGCUGCUGCAGUGACGCUCAGGAGCUCCGCUUUUGGAGCCUAGCCACUGCGGUGUGGAGCUCAGCACCCUUCGGCUGUGGUGGAGGCACAAACCUCCUGUGCGUUUCUUUGGGCUGCCAGGCAACGUGGGGAAGAUGCUGCCUUUCUGCAGCCUGGCUUAGAUACCCCCGUGCUGUUCCCAGCCAUGCUGGAGGUGUCUGGGAAGAGGGCCAAAAGUGCUAGCACCUUGUAAUUAAUACCUGGUUUGGCUAUAACCUUCUUGUCUAACAUUAAUGGCUGCAUCCGUAUUAAAACACAUCAAUUGCCCAGUUUAAUUAGGGUUUGUGGUUUUGUGGUCUGUAGCGCAGCCCAUACAUUGCCAGGCUCCCCGAGAAGCAGUGGCGAGCUGGCCUCUCUGGUGGGUGAGGAGGAAAGACUGCGGCUGCCCAUCUGCCCUGGGCAGCCUGGACUCUGGGCAGCUGCCUGCUCAGCCUGUGCCUGGAGCCACUCUUGUUGACAAUUAUUUAAUUUCAGACUAGGAAAAAAUAAUAAAAACUUGUGCCUUAUGCCUGCA
This is a long non-coding RNA of Struthio camelus australis, 1692 nucleotides long. The record is from Ensembl. NCBI's taxonomy places the organism in Eukaryota, Metazoa, Chordata, Aves, Struthioniformes, Struthionidae.